UACGUAGGGUGCAAGCGUUAAUCGGAAUUACUGGGCGUAAAGCGUGCGCAGGCGGUGAUGUAAGUCCGGGGUGAAAUCCCCGGGCUUAACCUGGGAACUGCAUUUGUGACUGCAUCGCUGGAGUGCGGCAGAGGGGGAUGGAAUUCCGCGUGUAGCAGUGAAAUGCGUAGAUAUGCGGAGGAACACCGAUGGCGAAGGCAAUCCCCUGGGCCUGCACUGACGCUCAUGCACGAAAGCGUGGGGAGCAAACAGG
This 253-nucleotide ribosomal RNA is filed under the name uncultured bacterium. RNAcentral describes it as "partial 16S ribosomal RNA". It matches the Rfam family "Bacterial small subunit ribosomal RNA", at positions 524 to 776 of the family's 1533-position model. The record is from RNAcentral.